Molecule: ribosomal RNA, 446 nt
Filed under: uncultured bacterium
Lineage: Bacteria
Description: partial 16S ribosomal RNA
Rfam family: Bacterial small subunit ribosomal RNA
Source: RNAcentral
CCUACGGGAGGCAGCAGUCGAGAAUCAUUCACAAUGGGGGAAACCCUGAUGGUGCGACGCCGCGUGGGGGAAUGAAGGUCUUCGGAUUGUAAACCCCUGUCAUGUGGGAGCAAAUUAAAAAGAUAGUACCACAAGAGGAAGAGACGGCUAACUCUGUGCCAGCAGCCGCGGUAAUACAGAGGUCUCAAGCGUUGUUCGGAAUCACUGGGCGUAAGGCGUGCGUAGGCUGUUUCGUAAGUCGUGUGUGAAAGGCGCGGGCUCAACCCGCGGACGGCACAUGAUACUGCGAGACUAGAGUAAUGGAGGGGGAACCGGAAUGCUCGGUGUAGCAGUGAAAUGCGUAGAUAUCGAGAGGAACACUCGUGGCGAAGGCGGGUUCCUGGACAUUAACUGACGCUGAGGCACGAAGGCCAGGGGAGCGAAAGGGAUUAGAUACCCGGGUAGUC